RNAcentral lists this ribosomal RNA (230 nucleotides) under uncultured bacterium. Its description in RNAcentral is "partial 16S ribosomal RNA". It matches the Rfam family "Bacterial small subunit ribosomal RNA", at positions 562 to 791 of the family's 1533-position model. The record is from RNAcentral.
AAAGCGUGCGCAGGCGGUAAUGUAAGACAGAUGUGAAAUCCCCGGGCUCAACCUGGGAACUGCAUUUGUGACUGCAUUGCUGGAGUGCGGCAGAGGGGGAUGGAAUUCCGCGUGUAGCAGUGAAAUGCGUAGAUAUGCGGAGGAACACCGAUGGCGAAGGCAAUCCCCUGGGCCUGCACUGACGCUCAUGCACGAAAGCGUGGGGAGCAAACAGGAUUAGAUACCCCGGU